GACGAACGCUGGCGGCGUGCUUAACACAUGCAAGUCGUACGGUAAGGCCCUUUCGGGGGUACCCGAGUGGCGAACGGGUGCGUAACACGUGAGUAACCUGCCCACAACUUUGGGAUAACGCUAGGAAACUGGUGCUAAUACUGGAUAUGUGCUCCUGCUGCAUGGUGGGGGUUGGAAAGCUCCGGCGGUUGUGGAUGGACUCGCGGCCUAUCAGCUUGUUGGUGGGGUAGUGGCCUACCAAGGCGGCGACGGGUAGCCGGCCUGAGAGGGUGAGCGGCCACAUUGGGACUGAGAUACGGCCCAGACUCCUACGGGAGGCAGCAGUGGGGAAUAUUGCACAAUGGGCGCAAGCCUGAUGCAGCAACGCCGCGUGCGGGAUGACGGCCUUCGGGUUGUAAACCGCUUUCAGCAGGGACGAAGCUUUUUGUGACGGUACCUGCAGAAGAAGCACCGGCUAACUACGUG
Molecule: ribosomal RNA, 465 nt
Filed under: uncultured bacterium
Lineage: Bacteria
Description: partial 16S ribosomal RNA
Rfam family: Bacterial small subunit ribosomal RNA
Source: RNAcentral